CCACUGGCGUUCGUUUGACUAAGAACCCAGGAAUACACAUAACAUCCCACCGCGGUUAAUCUUAUCUCUCCCAACGGCGUUAGUCUUCUCUCCCCUCCCAACUUCCUUCUUCCUUUCUUCCCGUUCACCCACGUUUGUUUGACCCAGAAAUGCCCCACUUUAAGUUUUCUCCCGCGUUUUCUCUCUCCUGACAUAUUUACCACACAACCAACCCAACUACCCAAAUAGUUAUUCGGUAAAUAGUCCCUAUUCACUUUCGUUCUUCCCACCGACGAACCUAAAGUUCUUCAUUUAUUCUGAUCACCGGCGGUCGUCAUCUCGGAUUUUUCGAUAGUUUGUCAACAUUCGCUCGUUGCACAGACGGAGAGGUGAAUGUGAACUUCGUGUUCUUCCCCGAACUACAGUGAAAGAAGGUAAACAAUUUGAAACCAAUGGCAAAAUAGGGAGUUUGCACCAGAUGCUCACCAAAACGCUUCAAUGAAUUUAUUUCAGAAUUACCGUUAAGAAUAGAGCACUACGAAACUCUUAAUGGCACCUGAUUUGGACAGUUACUUUCCAUCCCACCAAGCACCUUUGACAAGGCAGUUAUCAUGGAGAUAGUACAACAGUGGGACUCAGAAACCACUACAUUCAACCUAAGUGGUGUGUAUGUACCAUCCACUGACCGGGACAUUGCGCUAAUAUUGGGACUAAGGUUAGUUGGGCGUCCUGUGAUCGUGGAUACCUCCCUACCGGUUCCAGAGUUUAUUAAUCGUUUGUUUGGACUGACCGAUGAUUCAUCCUCACAACUGCUCUUGAGUACAGUAGAAGAAAAGGUCUUUAGUAUAGUGCAUGAGAAGUCAAAUGAGUCGAUUGAAAAUGUGGUGAAGUUGGUUCUCUUGCACCUAUUUGGUUCGAUGUUAUUUUCACAGGGGAGGCCUCAUAUGAGCCUUGUGUGGGCUAGUUACAUCAAUGAUCUGGCACACAUAUCUGACUAUUCAUGGGCACGGUGUGUGCAUCAAUUCAUUGUACAUGGCCUUAAUCGCAUUGUUGACUGCACAAGCAUUCCUAUGAACGAUGGCCAAAGGUCUUUUUCAAGUACAAUAUUUGGUUGGUUUGCUGCUACGAUGCCAUGGUUGUUUGAGCAUAGUAUAGUGUUUAGACCAUCAAAACCCAUUUCUAGACCACAGUUGAUGAGGUGGAGCAAAAUAGGGCACAACGGCAACUUCAAUAGGAUAGAGUUAAUUCGGAAAAUAACUACUGGAAUGUGCCCUGACAUUACCUGACGACGACGAUGGAGAGAUGCAAACUUCAUUUUGUGAUUCAUACAACCGUGCCCCACUCAUUGUUGUUGUGCCUGCCAAAGAUGAGCGAAUCUCAGGGCACAGUGCCAACACUAUUUCAUAUCGUUCCAGGACGUGGUGUGUGUGCACGCUGUGUCGAAUCGAUUGAGUUUGAGUAGCUUAGUUUGAAAGCAUCGCGAGCAGAUUAUUAUGAAGCUGAAGUUGGUCAACUACGGGCAGAGGUUGAAUGACUACGUGGGACAUUGAUAGCAAGUGGCAUCAAUCCUAAUGGCUUGCCUGUGCACACAUCUCCAGCUGUACCUGGUAAAAAUGUGCAUGUCAGAGAGGCAUCAAUACUGGAGGAUGAUUCCUUUACCUCACCUGAUACUAUAGAUAGCAUUCCUCCUUCGUGUGAGAUAGUUUCACCUCGGUCAUGGGUGAAGAAUGUUUAUAGAAGGGGGCACAAUGUGGGAAAGCGUGAACGCUUUCCUAGUAGUGUUGUUGUUUCCCCUUUCUGGCCCCCUGGUGAUAUUGGCAAGGUGGCUAAGAAAUUUGCCAUUGCAGCUCGUACCAAUGAGUUGGUGGUGGAAGGUGGGCCAUCAACAUGGGUAGCAUUUGCUCAAAAAGACAGAAUGGCGGCAAAUGAUUUGUAAUUGGUGCAUAAUUUCUUGCACAAGGAGAUUCGGAAGGACGCGUAUGUGCUUAAGAACGAAAAUUGUUUAUUAAGUGAAGCAAACCUCCUCUCCCUUUUAAGAUGAAUGGUUGGUUAUCUGAUGAGGUUAUAGAUGUGUACGACAACCUAUUGUAGGCAUGGAGUCACAAUUCCGUGAAAGUUUUGUACGUGCCUGCAGUGUCUCAGGGAUUUGCAACGAAUGGGAUGCUCGGGAAGCUGAAACCAUGGUUAGAACCAUGUGCAAAGAAGCGCGUGCAGAAAAUCUUCAUGCCCAUUAAUGAUCAAUAUCACUAGCAACUACUUGUCAUUGAUCUGAUACAGAAGAGGUUUCUCUCGUAUAGCUCUAUCCAUGGGACGGUCUACAAGGCGUUUACAGACAAAAUGGUAUGCAUCCUCAACGUUAGAUAAGUCUUGUGAUGUUGCAUCUCUAAAUUGGUAUCUUAACAGUGUUUUUUCUUUAUUUUAUUUUUUUAUCGCAACAUAGCAUCAAAUUUACAAGACAAUUCUCAGCGAUAUUAUUAGUGGCGUUGGUGGGUGGCCUUAUGAACCUACCAGGAAGGUGGAGACGAUUAUAGUGUUUUUGUUAUCAAGUAUAUUGAUUGUCUGUCUAUGUCGAAGACGUUUGAUUUCUCAUCGGUGCAUAUAAUCAUUAUUAUGUAUACGAUCUAAUGUUUUUGUUUUCCAUUAAUCCAAACUCAUGCACAUUUCGUGUGCUUUCAAAUCUAUGACACAAUUGGAUUAAAUCGA
Non-coding RNA from Nelumbo nucifera (sacred lotus), 2682 nucleotides. The record is from RefSeq and is a predicted model, not a curated record. Lineage: Eukaryota; Viridiplantae; Streptophyta; Magnoliopsida; Proteales; Nelumbonaceae.